CUUGCUACUAAAUCAACCCAACAGGUUCUGCAUCUGUACUAGGCUUCCUGUGCCAACGAGAAUAUAUAAAACCAUCCUCCCCAAACACAAGCUGACACUGGGGGCUAAACCUGCCUGACAGUCCCAAGGAGCCUGGUGACCUGGGAGGAGCUCCUCAGAUGCAGGGACCAUUGCAGGCUGCGGCGCCCGUCCCAGGUGCAUCCUGGGCUACCCUGGGAAGGGCUGGGGAACAGCAAGAGCCAGAUCUGUGGUAAGGACACUCAUUUUAGAGACGUGAUGGAUUCAUUUAAUAUCUUUUCGCUACAAUUGCUUUGCAGUGCCUGCUCUUAAUGGCCUCCAAAGUUCCAUCCAAAUAUCUUUUGCUGGCAGUUUAGCUCUCUGGCUGGCAUUUUUGCUGGCAGAACUAACAGCUGGAUGCCUCCUUGAAUGGGAAACUUUCAUUGUCUUGUCUUCUCUCUUCUGAGUUUCCAGUGACUGCCCCAGGUCUGAGGCUGGAGCAGGGCUCUGACUGUGACACCCCUGCGUGGAGCCCAGUGGCUGACUUUCAGGAAGGACAGGUGAGUGUGGGGGAGUGGAGGCCUGUGCCUGACUAGGUGAGGGCCCAGGCCCAAGCUCCAAGGAAGAAAAGGGGAUGUGAGGAAGCAGGGUAUUUGUUGCCUGAGGCCCACCUCCAACACUUUGGGCAGAACACCUUAGCUCCAGAUGCACAAAACUCACAGGCUCUGGGCUGUGCAGCCCCCUGGGAACACUAACUAGCUGGCCUCAGAGUCUGUGGACCUCUGCAUGUGCCCUGGGUCAGAAGGCAUGACCUGUCUAACUGCCACAUGGCGUGUCUGUGCCAUGCUGCCAUCCUUCUCAGGGUCCUCUCUUCCCUAGCAUUCUGGCACACACCGGACAGAACCCCUUGACUGCUGCAGGGGUGGUUGGCCUGCUGGGACAUGUAUUUG
RNAcentral lists this long non-coding RNA (947 nucleotides) under Homo sapiens (human). Its description in RNAcentral is "HSALNT0218975". Lineage: Eukaryota; Metazoa; Chordata; Mammalia; Primates; Hominidae. The record is from RNAcentral.